UCGUAGGGCUUCGGCCCUGUCGAGAUAGAACCCUUGCCUUUUUGAGUACCUUUUCGUUUCCUCGGCAGGCUCGCCUGCCAAUGGGGACCCCAACAAACACUUUGCAGUACCUGUAAACAGUCUGAACAAACUUUUAAAAAUUA
RNAcentral lists this unclassified non-coding RNA (143 nucleotides) under uncultured fungus. RNAcentral describes it as "sequence contains ITS1". The record is from RNAcentral. Lineage: Eukaryota; Fungi.